AUGACCAUUAACAAGGCUCAAGGGCAGACCAUCCCGAUUGUUGGUGUCUACCUACCCAAUCCCGUGUUCUCUCAUGGUCAGCUCUAUGUUGCUUUGUCUCGAGCCACCGCAAAGAGAAACAUAAAGAUACUCAUUCAGAAGGAGAAGGCGAAGGAGAAGGCCAACAAGCAAAAGGACAAUCCAAAGAAGCGAAAAACCUUGUCCUUACUGACCUCGAUGAAGAACAUAGUCUACAAGGAAGUCCUUACUGGCUGA
This 255-nucleotide ribosomal RNA is filed under the name Triticum aestivum (bread wheat). RNAcentral's name for it is "partial small subunit ribosomal RNA". Lineage: Eukaryota; Viridiplantae; Streptophyta; Magnoliopsida; Poales; Poaceae. The record is from RNAcentral.